UAGGGAAUCUUCCGCAAUGGACGCAAGUCUGACGGAGCAACGCCGCGUGAGUGAAGAAGGAUUUCGGUUCGUAAAACUCUGUUGUUAGAGAAGAACAGCGCAUAGAGUAACUGUUAUGCGUGUGACGGUAUCUAACCAGAAAGCCACGGCUAACUACGUGCCAGCAGCCGCGGUAAUACGUAGGUGGCAAGCGUUGUCCGGAUUUAUUGGGCGUAAAGCGAGCGCAGGCGGUCAAUUAAGUCUGAUGUGAAAGCCCCCGGCUCAACCGGGGAGGGUCAUUGGAAACUGGUUGACUUGAGUGCAGAAGAGGAGAGUGGAAUUCCAUGUGUAGCGGUGAAAUGCGUAGAUAUAUGGAGGAACACCAGUGGCGAAGGCGACUCUCUGGUCUGUAACUGACGCUGAGGUUCGAAAGCGUGGGUAGCAAUCAGG
This 429-nucleotide ribosomal RNA is filed under the name Bacteroidota bacterium. RNAcentral's name for it is "Bacteroidetes bacterium partial 16S ribosomal RNA". It matches the Rfam family "Bacterial small subunit ribosomal RNA", at positions 355 to 776 of the family's 1533-position model. Lineage: Bacteria; Pseudomonadati; Bacteroidota. The record is from RNAcentral.